CCCUUAGAUGUCCUGGGCCGCACGCGCGUUACACUGAUGCAUUCAACGAGCUUAUAACCUUGGCCGAGAGUCCUGGGCAAUCUUGUUAACGUGCAUCGUGAUAGGGAUAGAUUAUUGAAAUUAUUAAUCUUGAACGAGGAAUUCCUAGUAAACGCAGAUCAUCAAUCUGCAUUGAUUACGUCCCUGCCCUUUGUACACACCGCCCGUCGCACCUACCGAUUGGAUGGUCCGGUGAAGCCUCGGGAUUGUGGUUCUUGCCGCUUUAUUGUGGCGUGACCGCGAGAACUUGUCUAAACCUUAUCAUCUAGAGGAAGGUGAAGUCGUAACA
This 328-nucleotide ribosomal RNA is filed under the name uncultured eukaryote. Its description in RNAcentral is "partial 18S ribosomal RNA". It matches the Rfam family "Eukaryotic small subunit ribosomal RNA", at positions 1470 to 1796 of the family's 1831-position model. The record is from RNAcentral.